Passer domesticus (house sparrow) is the source of this 719-nucleotide long non-coding RNA. RefSeq lists it as uncharacterized. Lineage: Eukaryota; Metazoa; Chordata; Aves; Passeriformes; Passeridae. The record is from RefSeq and is a predicted model, not a curated record. The transcript is spliced from 4 exons.
CGUGUCAGCUCUGGAAGGACACACAGCAUCUUGUGAGACUGUCAAAAUAUAACAUCAUGAACCAGAAUCGAGCCAAAAGUUCAGCAUUAAACACCACUGAUGAUAGACUUUUCCUCUGAUAGGAGACCUGCAAGCAGCAAGAGUGAGCUGGGGCUCAGCUGGGUGCACCCCAGGAUGCCCAGGGCAGUCUGUGCUGUGCAGGGAAGUGAAUGGGUCUUGUGCAUGUACAUGCAGGGAUGUUUUUCCACUGGAUGCCUGCAGCUGCCAUACUUUGUAUUUUGAUUUCUUCGGCAAUUACUGGCUAGGCAGGCCAGCCCUGUAGGACAGGCCUGCAGAGGAGUGAUUACUAAGGAAUGGAAAAUGCAAAGAGGGGUAUUAGAGACCCCUCAAGGGAUCUCUCUUCCUCCCACCACUGUGCUGUCACUCUGAAAAAUACCUCCCACUGCAAAUAAUCAUCCUGAAGGCUGAACUAGUUCCAGAGCUUCAGAAACUGUUAUAAGGCACAUCUGAUCUCGCUGCCAGUAGGCACCACAUCUCCUAUCACGUGCCAUCUCGAUGGAAGACUACUCCCCAGGAAUGAGCUGCUUGUCUUGGUUCUUUGCCAAUGCCACCUGGCUGACUCUGUCUAGGUAAAGCACAGUGCUAGUGAGCAUUGGCUCAGACAGACACUCGGAUCUGGGCCAGGCUGGAGAUGGCCUGUUAGUAGCUGUCGCUCGCUU